Molecule: long non-coding RNA, 932 nt
Organism: Clupea harengus (Atlantic herring)
Lineage: Eukaryota; Metazoa; Chordata; Actinopteri; Clupeiformes; Clupeidae
Source: Ensembl
GAAGAAAGGAAAGAAGAGUGGAAGAAGGAAAGAAUAAAGGAAAGAAGAGUGAAGAAAGGAAAGAAGAAAAGAAAGAAGAGUGAAAGAAGGAAAGAAGAAAGCAAAGAAGAGUGAAGAAAGGAAAGAAGAGUGGAAGAAGAAAAGAAGAGUUGAAGAAGGAAGGAAGAGUGGAAGAAGGAAAGAAGAGUGAAGAAAGGAAAGAAGAGUUGAAGAAGGAAGGAAGAGUGGAAGAAGGAAAGAAGAAAAGAAAGAAGAGUGAAGAAAGGAAAGAAGAGUGGAAGAAAGGAAAGAAGAGAAAGAAGAGUGAAGAAAGGAAAGAAGAGUGAAAGAAGGAAAGAAGUGGAAGAAGGAAAGAAAAAAGAAAGAAGAGUGGAAGAAGGAAAGAAGAAAGGAAAGAAGAGUGAAAGAAGGAAAGAAGAAAGGAAAGAAGAGUGGAAGAAAGGAAAGAAGAAAGGAAAGAAGAGUGAAGAAAGGAAAGAAGAGUGAAAGAAGGAAAGAAGUGGAAGAAGGAAAGAAAAAAGAAAGAAGAGUGGAAGAAGGAAAGAAGAGUGGAAGAAGGAAAGAAGAAGAGUGGAAGAAGGAAAGAAUAAUAUUCCUAGUUAUACAGUUGAAUUGAGAGGGACAGAGAGAGAAGAGGAGCCUUGGAACCUUGGCGCAGGUGUCAGUGAAGCACAGGUGCAAGCCAGUUUAAUGACCCUAUUAUGAUGUCAUAAUGGCCCAAUGUAAGUGAAUGGGAAAAUUUGUAUUAGUUUUUCUUUAAUAUUUUAAAAAGUAUAAAGUUUAGAAAAAUGAAAAAUACAUAGCAUAAGUGUCCUUUACAAGACCUACGCAGCAAAGUUUGAACAAAGUUUCUAAGUUAAGCGGUUCGAGCUGAAUUAAGCGCAGAAGUUCGGUACAAAGAAUAAUAAUAAUAAGAAGAAUAAGAAGCCUAG